Molecule: ribosomal RNA, 497 nt
Filed under: uncultured bacterium
Lineage: Bacteria
Description: partial 16S ribosomal RNA
Rfam family: Bacterial small subunit ribosomal RNA
Source: RNAcentral
GAUGAGCGCUGGCGGCGUGCCUAAUACAUGCAAGUCGAGCGAACAGACGAGGAGCUUGCUCCUUCGACGUUAGCGGCGGACGGGUGAGUAACACGUAGGUAACCUACCUAUAAGACUGGGAUAACUUCGGGAAACCGGAGCUAAUACCGGAUAAUAUUUCGAACCGCAUGGUUCGAUAGUGAAAGAUGGCUUUGCUAUCACUUAUAGAUGGACCUGCGCCGUAUUAGCUAGUUGGUAAGGUAACGGCUUACCAAGGCAACGAUACGUAGCCGACCUGAGAGGGUGAUCGGCCACACUGGAACUGAGACACGGUCCAUACUCCUACGGGAGGCAGCAGUAGGGAAUCUUCCGCAAUGGGCGAAAGCCUGACGGAGCAACGCCGCGUGAGUGAUGAAGGUCUUCGGAUCGUAAAACUCUGUUAUUAGGGAAGAACAAACGUGUAAGUAACUGUGCACGUCUUGACGGUACCUAAUCAGAAAGCCACGGCUAACUACGUG